UGAUGAAUAUGUACCCAUGAUUGACAAGACUGUAGAUGGUGGAUGCAAGAAACAAGUGCUCUCUCAAGAGCCACAUACGUCCAGAGGAACACUACCUCCACCAAGUGUAGAAAAAUCUCCAGAAGGAUUAUUUGCUUGUAUUUGGGCUCUGCUCAUGGCGAUCUUCAUAGCAUUCCUCUCUGUCAUCCAUUCAUUUCCAAUUUGGUUGACUAAGAAAAACCCUGAGCCUAAUUCUGUCUGUGAUGCUUCUGAUCCAACUCUUGAACCAAUGCUCAAGGAGGAGUCCCGCCC
This 291-nucleotide unclassified non-coding RNA is filed under the name Hevea brasiliensis (rubber tree). The record is from RNAcentral. Lineage: Eukaryota; Viridiplantae; Streptophyta; Magnoliopsida; Malpighiales; Euphorbiaceae.